Molecule: ribosomal RNA, 459 nt
Filed under: uncultured bacterium
Lineage: Bacteria
Description: partial 16S ribosomal RNA
Rfam family: Bacterial small subunit ribosomal RNA
Source: RNAcentral
CCUACGGGAGGCUGCAGUGAGGAAUAUUGGUCAAUGGGCGUAAGCCUGAACCAGCCAAGUCGCGUGAGGGACGACGGCCCUACGGGUUGUAAACCUCUUUUGCCGGGGGACAAACGGCGGCACGCGUGCCGUCCUGAGGGUACCCGGAGAAAAAGCAUCGGCUAACUCCGUGCCAGCAGCCGCGGUAAUACGGAGGAUGCGAGCGUUAUCCGGAUGUAUUGGGUUUAAAGGGUGCGUAGGCGGGAUGCCAAGUCAGCGGUAAAAAUGCGGUGCUCAACGCCGUCGAGCCGUUGAAACUGGCGUUCUUGAGUGGGCGAGAAGUAUGCGGAAUGCGUGGUGUAGCGGUGAAAUGCAUAGAUAUCACGCAGAACUCCGAUUGCGAAGGCAGCAUACCGGCGCCCUACUGACGCUGAGGCACGAAAGCGUGGGUAUCGAACAGGAUUAGAUACCCUUGUAGUC